Molecule: ribosomal RNA, 390 nt
Filed under: Triticum aestivum (bread wheat)
Lineage: Eukaryota; Viridiplantae; Streptophyta; Magnoliopsida; Poales; Poaceae
Description: partial small subunit ribosomal RNA
Source: RNAcentral
AUGAACACACUUCCUGACCCACCACCUAUGAAAAAGGCUAGGACUUCUAAAGGCAGUGAUGAAGGUAAGGCUAAGAGAGGAAAAGAAACAGCGAUUGAAGAUCUGGUUGCUGUUAGAAAAGAAGAACUUAAAACUUAUGUGGAUGUAAAGACAAAACAAAUUGAAAGCUAUAGAGAAGUGAAAAUGGCACAGAUGGAAAAAAAAGGUCCUGACAAAGAUCCUUAUUGCAUUGCCAAUUGCAUUGUCAAACUUAAGACCAUACCAGAUCUCUCAGCAAGUGAUCAUCUGAAGAUGAUCGAGUAUCUGAAAGGACAAAGAAUUGACCGUGAAAUCUUCAUGACAGUGGAGCAUGAUGUUGUUCUAGAGAUCCUCAAGCAAUUCCUUUCCUAA